This 45-nucleotide non-coding RNA is filed under the name Schistosoma margrebowiei. The record is from RNAcentral. Lineage: Eukaryota; Metazoa; Platyhelminthes; Trematoda; Strigeidida; Schistosomatidae.
GUCCAGCUGAGGAGUUCCAAAUAGGACGAAACGCGCGUCCUGCAU